CUCGCACCAAUUACUCUCCAUCUACUUCCUUCGUUUCGCUCGCCAAACCCUAACCCUAACCCUAACCUUCUGUUUUUUGGUUCUUCUCUUCCAAUCUCGAAACACCUGCAAACCUAUUCCAUAAUCUGCAAUUCGACGGCAAAUUAACUCCACGAAACCUGUUUGCCCUAAAAAUCAUGGAUUCGGAGCAGAGCAACCUCUAUGAAACGGCGUCGCAGCCCGACACGGGGACUGACGCCUAUACCUUCCUAGAAUUCAACACCCAAGGCGAAUCUGACUUUGAAUAUCCCGAAUUCCGCUCACCCGUGGCUUGGCCUACCCCCUCCGAUUCUCUUGCGCCCACUUCCUCCUUAUCAGCUGUUGACCCCGCCACUUCAGACCACCGUGCCGCUGCUUCCUCCUCUGAUCAUCACUCUGAUUCCCCUGCGGUCUCUCCUGUGUCGCGCAGAGGGGUUGGAAGCAACAGUCAGGGGGUCGAUGGGAUAGUGGCUGGUAUGGGAGGGUUGAAUUUCGAGGAGACGGGGGACGAGGAUGCAUAUGAGUUCGGGAAAGGGGAUUUUACGGAACAUGCGUGUAGGUACUGUGGGGUUUCGAACCCGGCUUGUGUUGUGAGGUGUAAUGUUCCUUCGUGUAGGAAAUGGUUUUGUAAUUCUAGAGGGAACACUUCGGGUUCGCAUAUUGUCAAUCACCUGGUUCGUGCAAAACAUAAGGAAGUCUGUCUCCAUAAAGACAGUCCUCUAGGGGAAACGAUACUUGAAUGCUACAACUGUGGAUGUCGAAAUGUAUUCCUUCUUGGAUUUAUAUCGGCCAAGACAGAAAGUGUUGUUGUUCUCCUGUGUAGGGAACCUUGCUUGAAUGUCAAUGCAUUGAAGGACAUGAACUGGGAUCUGACUCAAUGGUGUCCCCUUAUCGAUGAUAGGUGCUUUCUACAGUGGCUUGUCAAGAUCCCUUCUGAACAGGAGCAGCUGAGGGCACGUCAAAUAAGUGCUCAGCAGAUAAAUAAAGUAGAAGAACUUUGGAAAACAAAUCCUGAUGCUACCCUUGAAGAUCUUGAGAAGCCCGGUGUUGAUGAUGAGCCUCAGCCUGUAGCAUUGAAGUAUGAAGAUGCAUAUCAGUAUCAAAAUGUAUUUGCUCCGCUAAUUAAGCUCGAGGCAGAUUAUGAUAAGAUGAUGAAAGAGUCUCAAAGCAAGGACAAUGUCGCAAUUCGAUGGGAUAUUGGUCUUAACAAGAAGCGAAUUGCAUAUUUUGUUUUUCCAAAGGAGGACAAUGAGCUACGUCUUGUACCUGGUGAUGAGUUGCGACUGCGUUAUUCUGGAGAUGCUGCUCAUCCAGCUUGGCAGUCAGUUGGGCAUGUGAUCAAGUUAACUGCACAGGAGGAAGUAGCACUUGAGCUUCGUGCUAGUCAGGGGGUUCCUGUUGAUGUAAACCAUGGCAUCAGUGUUGAUUUUGUGUGGAAAAGUACAAGCUUUGAUCGGAUGCAAGGGGCAAUGAAAACUUUUGCAGUGGAUGAAACAAGUGUUAGUGGAUAUAUAUAUCACCAUUUGUUGGGCCAUGAGGUUGAGAGUCAAAAUGUUCGUAAUACACUCCCGCGUCGUUUUGGUGCACCUGGUCUUCCAGAGCUCAAUGCAUCUCAAGUUUUUGCUGUAAAAAGUGUUCUUCAAAGACCUAUAAGCUUGAUUCAAGGUCCACCUGGCACUGGAAAAACUGUCACUUCAGCUGCCAUUGUUUAUCACAUGGCCAAACAGGGUCAGGGACAGGUUUUGGUAUGUGCCCCAAGUAAUGUAGCUGUAGACCAACUAGCUGAGAAGAUAAGUGCCACUGGCUUGAAGGUUGUUCGCCUUUGUGCUAAAUCAAGGGAAGCUGUGAGUUCCCCUGUUGAGCAUCUAACCCUUCACUAUCAGGUUAGGCAUCUCGACACUUCUGAGAAGAGUGAACUUCACAAGUUACAACAAUUGAAAGAUGAACAAGGAGAACUAUCCAGCAGUGAUGAGAAAAAAUACAAAGCACUGAAGCGAGCGACAGAGAGGGAGAUUUCUCAAAGUGCUGAUGUAAUUUGUUGCACUUGUGUUGGUGCUGGAGAUCCUCGACUGGCAAAUUUUAGGUUUCGCCAGGUGCUUAUUGACGAGUCUACUCAGGCAACAGAACCUGAAUGUCUUAUUCCUUUAGUUCUUGGGGCAAAGCAGGUUGUUCUUGUUGGUGAUCAUUGUCAGCUUGGUCCAGUCAUUAUGUGCAAGAAAGCAGCUCGUGCUGGGCUAGCUCAGUCUCUUUUUGAACGACUUGUUUUGCUUGGUGUGAAACCUAUUAGAUUGCAGGUUCAAUACCGCAUGCAUCCAUCUCUCUCGGAAUUUCCAUCUAACAACUUUUAUGAAGGUACCCUGCAAAAUGGUGUGACUGUGAAUGAGAGGCAGUCAUCAGGAAUCGAUUUCCCCUGGCCUGUGCCUAAUCGUCCCAUGUUCUUCUAUGUCCAGAUGGGACAAGAAGAAAUAAGUGCCAGUGGGACAUCCUAUCUAAACCGUACAGAGGCAGCAAAUGUUGAAAAAAUUGUAACUACUUUCUUGAGGAGUGGUGUGGUCCCUAGUCAGAUUGGGGUAAUAACACCAUAUGAGGGGCAGCGAGCAUAUAUCGUGAACUAUAUGUCAAGAAAUGGUGCUCUCAGACAGCAACUGUACAAGGAAAUUGAGGUUGCAAGUGUUGAUUCAUUUCAAGGGAGGGAAAAAGAUUACAUUAUUUUGUCUUGUGUUAGGAGCAAUGAACAUCAGGGUAUUGGAUUUCUAAAUGAUCCUCGAAGGCUUAAUGUUGCUCUAACACGAGCUAGAUACGGGAUUGUCAUCCUUGGUAAUCCUAAAGUUCUGAGCAAACAACCUCUGUGGAAUAGCUUAUUGACACACUACAAGGAACAUGAAUGCUUGGUUGAAGGACCUCUAAAUAACUUGAAGCAGAGUAUGGUUCAAUUUCAGAAGCCCAAGAAGAUCUAUAAUGAUAGGAGGCUCUUCUUUGGUGGUGGACCAGGAAUUGUAUCUAAUGACAGUUUUGGUUCUGUUGCCUCAUCCAGCCCAAAUGCUGAUAGAAGAAGCUCUCGUGGCAGGGGUUCACAUAUGCCACCUGGGCCGCCUAAUGGUACCCAUAAGCCUGGUGUGCAUCCUACUGGGUUCAUGCCUAGAGUUCCCAUUUCUCAAUUUCAUGGUGCUCCACCUUCUCAACCAUAUGCUAUUCCUACUCGUGGAGCUGUGCAUGGGCCUGUUGGAGCUGUUCCUCAUGUCCCUUCUCCAGGAAGUCGAGGUUUUGGGGCUGGCCGUGGCAAUGCUGGUGCUUCUAUUGGCAGUCAUCCUCCUCACCAGCAAGGCACACAGCAAACAAUUGGAAAUAUGGGAUCUGCUUUCAACUUUCCUGCCCUGGAGAAUCCAAAUAGUCAGCCAUCCGUGGGUGGCCCACUAUCUCAGCCUGGAUAUGUUAAUAAUAUGCCAGUGCAAGGGCCGAGUCAAACAUUUCGUGAUGGAUUUUCUAUGGGGGGCAUGUCUCAGGACUUUUUGGGUGAUGACUUCAAAAGCCAGGGAUCACAUGUUCCAUAUAAUGUUGCUGACUUUUCCACUCAGGUGAAAGCCAUGUAACUUUUUUGAUGUUAUAUAAUUAGUAGCCUUAUAUCAUUCAUGCAGGCUAUUGAUCACAUUAGCUUAGCAUAUAAUCCAUCUGUUUGGUUGGGUUGUGUUAUUCUGAAGGCAUCUGGCGCUGGUGAUUGUAGGAAUACUUUCUCUUUCCAGUCUAUGUAUCUUCCCAGAUGAGGGAAUUUGUGUUAUAAAGCACUUUGUCUAUGCUUGGAGUUUGAAUAUAUUGCAAACUGCUAUGCAGGCAUCACAAAGUGGAUAUGCUGUUGAUUAUGUGACCCAGGGAGCACAGGGUGGGUUCCCAGGCAACUUUAUGAAUCAGAAUUCUCAAGCUGGAUUUUCUCGUUUUGGUUCUGGAAAUGAUUUCAUGUCUCAGGUUUGCUCAUUAAAGAAAUCUUUGUUCUUUUGUUAUAUCUCGAGUGUUAUUUCUGUCCCGAUGUGAGGAAUACUUGACUCAUCGAUCGCAGGGGCUGUUCACCCAGAUUGGCUUCAAUGAUCCCUCACAAGAUGAUGCAUCACAGAACCACUUUGGCAUAGCCAAUCCAAACCCACUUCAGUCCCAGGUUUUCUCAUGCCACUAAUGCUGAUUGAAAAGAAUUGUAACAGGCAGAAUGCUCAAAUUAUCCAUAUGUAGAAAAAUUUGGCCUUGAUCAUACAGCCAAAUGCUUUUAGGCUGUUUUUAUUGAUUUUGCUUGAUCAGUAGUUGUUCUUCUCAUUAGUUUGGUAAUUGGUAGUUAUUUUUUUGUGUCAUGUAUUUUAACAUGGUGAAUUUCAAUGCAGGGCUUGAUGAACUCUCUCUACUCGCAACCCUUUACUCACUACAACACACAGCCACUAAACUUGCAAUCUCAACAGCAGCCUCAGCAGGGUCAAGGCUCCCAAAACCAGAAAAUCCACUACAAUGGUUGAGGGGUCAUGGAAGUGUUAUUUUGGCUGUGAUGGGUUAUAAUCUUUGCAUUCAGCAUCCUGGUUUGUGCUGUCACGUGUGCCCAAAUUUAUCUGCUAAAAGUGCAGAAAAAAUUUGCCAUCUUUUUGAGGUCAUUUUGAUACCUUUCAUAAUCGAAAGACGACCUUGGAUGAUAAGAAUAAAGAUGACCUUGUGGAUAGUGGCUAUGCUAUGGGGUCCAUAAAAAGAUGCAAGCUGCACAUCCGAGGCUGAGAAACAAAAAGGAUAACCCCAAUCGCCUGCUUAAAGUAGUAUUUUGAGAAAGGUAAAAAAUGGUUCCAAAGGAGAGCAUUACAUGGCAUGGUUCUGUCGAAAGGGUCCGGAGAUGAAGAUGUUGAGGCAUAUAUUUUUAUUUGAUUUACAGUGGAACCCCAUUAUUUACAAAGCAGCAGAGUUAGCAGAGAAAAUGUGUACAGCAUGAUGGGGCAAGUCGCCAAACCCUUUCAGCUUCUCCUGACAUGUAAUUAUACUCUGUUAUAUAAUCUGUUUAGAUGAUGAUUUCUUUAGGAAUGUCCUGCAGUGCAACCCCUAAUACCCUUAACGGUUAUAUGGAAUUGGAUUAUGUAAGUGUGAAAUUGGUUUUAAUGUCAAAAUUGGCUUUGUUUUAAAUGCUUAGUCCCAUUGUUUUACUGGGGCUCUCAAGUGAGAGAUUGUACCAUUAAAAAGCUUAUUAGUAUGUAUAAAUGAUGGUGAUUGGUUCAGUGCUCUCCUUGUACUGCUUUUAUCAACGUAUGAAGAAUGUUG
This 5292-nucleotide unclassified non-coding RNA is filed under the name Hevea brasiliensis (rubber tree). Lineage: Eukaryota; Viridiplantae; Streptophyta; Magnoliopsida; Malpighiales; Euphorbiaceae. The record is from RNAcentral.